This 427-nucleotide ribosomal RNA is filed under the name uncultured bacterium. Its description in RNAcentral is "bacterial SSU rRNA". It matches the Rfam family "Bacterial small subunit ribosomal RNA", at positions 28 to 453 of the family's 1533-position model. The record is from RNAcentral.
GAUGAACGCUAGCGGGAGGCCUAAUACAUGCAAGUCGAACGGUAACAGGGUAGCAAUACCGCUGACGAGUGGCGCACGGGUGAGUAACACGUACACAAUCUGCCUUAUACUGGGGCAUACCCUCGGGAAACUGAGAAUAAUUCCCCAUAACAUAUUGAAAAGGCAUCUUUUUAAUAUUAAAACUCCGGUGGUAUAAGAUGAGUGUGCGUCUGAUUAGGUAGUUGGUGAGGUAACGGCUCACCAAGCCUACGAUCAGUAACUGGUCUGAGAGGAUGAUCAGUCACACGGGCACUGAGACACGGGCCCGACUCCUACGGGAGGCAGCAGUAGGGAAUAUUGGACAAUGGAGGCAACUCUGAUCCAGCCAUGCCGCGUGAGUGAAGAAGGCCUUCGGGUUGGUAAAGGUCUCUUUCGGUACAGAAAGAAA